CUGAGGGAUGUAUUAUCGCGCCUAUGACCUGGGUACACACGCGUCCAAUGGACAUACAACCGGUUGCCAACUCGCGCGACGGAGUAAUCCGAUAAAGUCGUUAUCAGUUCGGAUUGUAGGCUGCAACUCGCCUACAUGAAGCCGGAAUCGCUAGUAAUCGCGGAUCAGCAUGCCGCGGUGAAUACGUUCCCGGGCCUUGUACACACCGCCCGUCACACCACGAGAGUUUGUAACACCCGAAGUCGGUGGGGUAACCUUUUGGAGCCAGCCGCCGAAGGUGGAUAGAUGAUGGGUGG
Molecule: ribosomal RNA, 296 nt
Filed under: Lysinibacillus sp. BV
Lineage: Bacteria; Bacillati; Bacillota; Bacilli; Caryophanales; Bacillaceae
Description: partial 16S ribosomal RNA
Rfam family: Bacterial small subunit ribosomal RNA
Source: RNAcentral